RNAcentral lists this ribosomal RNA (419 nucleotides) under uncultured Thermanaerovibrio sp. RNAcentral's name for it is "bacterial SSU rRNA". It matches the Rfam family "Bacterial small subunit ribosomal RNA", at positions 973 to 1382 of the family's 1533-position model. Lineage: Bacteria; Thermotogati; Synergistota; Synergistia; Synergistales; Synergistaceae. The record is from RNAcentral.
ACCUGGGUUUGACAUGCACGUGGUACGGAUCUGAAAGGUGAAGGACGCUACCUUCGGGUAGCGAGCGUGCACAGGUGCUGCAUGGCUGUCGUCAGCUCGUGUCGUGAGAUGUUGGGUUAAGUCCCCGCAACGAGCGCAACCCCUACGCUGAGUUACCAGCACGUGAAGUGGGGACUCUCAGUGGACUGCCGGCGACAAGCCGGAGGAAGUGGGGACGACGUCAAGUCAUCAUGGCCCUCAUGUCCAGGGCGACACACGUGCUACAAUGGCCGGCACAACGGGAAGCGAAGUCGCGAGGCAGAGCGGAUCCCUUAAAGCCGGUCCCAGUUCGGAUUGCAGUCUGCAACUCGACUUCAUGAAGCUGGAAUCGCUAGUAAUCGCAGAUCAGCCAAGCUGCGGUGAAUACGUUCCCGGGCCUU